GAUGAACGCUGGCGGCGUGCCUAAUACAUGCAAGUCGAGCGAACGGACGAUAAGCUUGCUUCUCUGAUGUUAGCGGCGGACGGGUGAGUAACACGUGGAUAACCUACCUAUAAUACUGGUAUAACUUCGGGAAACCGGAGCUUAUACCGUAUAAUAUUUUGAACCGCAUGGUUCAAAGGUGAAAUACGGUCUUUCUGUCUCUUAUAGAUGGAUCCCGGCUGCAUUGGCUGGUUGGUAAGGUAACGGCUUACGAAGGCAACGAUGCAUUGCCGACCUGAGAGAGUGAUCGGCCACACUGGAACUGAGCCAGGGUCCAGACUACUACGGGAGGCAGCAGUAGGGAAUCUUCCGCAAUGGGCGAAAGCCUGACGGAGCAACGCCGCGUGAGAGAUGAAGGUCUUCGGAUCGUAAAACUCUGUUAUUAGGGAAGAACAUAUGUGUAAGUAACUGUGCACAUCUUGACGGUACCUAAUCAGAAAGCAACGGCUAACUACGUG
Molecule: ribosomal RNA, 497 nt
Filed under: uncultured bacterium
Lineage: Bacteria
Description: partial 16S ribosomal RNA
Rfam family: Bacterial small subunit ribosomal RNA
Source: RNAcentral